GAAAAAGUUCAUUGUUAUAUAUUAAACCAAACAAAUCAUGGAUAACUGAAUCAUCAAAAGAAUGGAGGCAAAUCACAAACUUUUUUAGAAGGGAAAAGGAAAAAACUCUAACAGUAUUCAUAUCAAAUCGAUUCUGCAACUUUCUAAAGAUGGUUCACUGCUUUAAGUAGAUUAGUUGGUAACAAGUACUCGUCGAUCAAACCAAACAAACAGGCAUAAAGAGGAAAGACAUCAGCUUUAUCCCUUGUUGAUCUAAACUAUCAAAGCCAACCAAGAAAGGGAUUAUUCGGCAAUACACAGUAACGUACAAAUAUAUGAACCAUAUGUAGGACAAUUAUAAGACCGAACCCGGAAAUCAAAUGAUAUAAUCUGACCACUCUGAGAUGAAAGAAGUAUGAUCCAUUGAUUCUCCAGGAAAUUCCUCAUGUUUAACUGGGGUUUCUUUUCCUCCCACCAACCUUGCAG
RNAcentral lists this unclassified non-coding RNA (465 nucleotides) under Hevea brasiliensis (rubber tree). The record is from RNAcentral. Lineage: Eukaryota; Viridiplantae; Streptophyta; Magnoliopsida; Malpighiales; Euphorbiaceae.